AGGAAAUAGAUACCCUGGUAGUCCAUGCCGUAAACGUUGGGCGCUAGGUGUGGGGACCAUUCCACGGUUUCUGUGCCGCAGCUAAACGCAUUAAGCGCCCCGCCUGGGGAGUACGGCCGCAAGGCUAAAACUCAAAGGAAUUGACGGGGCCCGACACAAGCGGCGGAGCAUGUGGAUUAAUUCGAUGCAACGCGAAGAACCUUACCUGGGUUUGACAUGCACAGGAUUGCGGCAGAGAUGUCGUUUCCCUUGUGGCCUGUGUGCAGGUGGUGCAUGGCUGUCGUCAGCUCGUGUCGUGAGAUGUUGGGUUAAAGUUCCCGNAACGAGCGCAACCCUUGUUCCAUGUUGCCAGGCACGU
RNAcentral lists this ribosomal RNA (358 nucleotides) under uncultured bacterium. RNAcentral's name for it is "bacterial SSU rRNA". It matches the Rfam family "Bacterial small subunit ribosomal RNA", at positions 774 to 1127 of the family's 1533-position model. The record is from RNAcentral.